CAUGUUUCAGAAAUGACUGAUCUAUAGAGUAAUUUUCUCCUCUUCAAAAGAACCCAGUGAAGUAGGCAAAAUGGAGUUUGUCAUUUUUACCUGACAGGAAAGGAAACCAGGCCAAAAGAAGAUGGUUUGUUGGUUCAUAUGGCCAGUGGCUGUUGCUACUCAGAGCAGAACCCAGGUGUGUCAAACACAAACCCUCGAUGAUCCUGAAACCGCCUCUACUUCUUGCUGUAACCGGGUUCUGCCUGCGCUGUUGCUUCAUGCUGCUCUUCAAGGCUCACCUGGCUGUCUGAUGCCUAUCUCGCCUUGCCCAAAGCACUACGGUUUGUAAUAUCCUGCAUUUACUCAUUAAAAUACACCAACUGGUAUCCGUUUGAGUAUUCUCAAAUUCUCAACAUCAUUACCAUCAGCAUGCUUACUGUGUCUUGGGAAGCACAUGUUUAAAAAGCAAAACAUCCUGAAUAUUAAGAAUAAGAUGCAUUGCACUGUUUACUCCUACAAUUCUGGUCUACAGUAGAGUAUAACCGAGCAUCUAAUUUAGCACAGAGUUUGUGACCAUCGUAUUAAAUUUAACACAGCGCUAUGUGAUCCUGUUCUAUCAAGAAUGCUAUGAUUUCUAGGAACUUUGCCAGGCCGUAUGAUUUCUAGGAAUCAGUGGACUUCACAAACAAAAUGGUCAAUUUGCCCUGUUCAACUCAGCCUUCCUAAUAUGG
This 710-nucleotide long non-coding RNA is filed under the name Rattus norvegicus (Norway rat). RNAcentral's name for it is "long non-coding RNA NONRATT032444". The record is from RNAcentral. Lineage: Eukaryota; Metazoa; Chordata; Mammalia; Rodentia; Muridae.